RNAcentral lists this long non-coding RNA (294 nucleotides) under Crocodylus porosus (Australian saltwater crocodile). RNAcentral's name for it is "lncRNA (ENSCPRG00005011356.1)". The record is from RNAcentral. Lineage: Eukaryota; Metazoa; Chordata; Crocodylia; Crocodylidae.
AGCAUACCUACAUAACAGCACCUUCAGCAUAACUCUGCUCUUCCAUGCUGGUAAAAAUCCCUGCCUCUCUGCAGCCAGGUUUCUUGGAUUCAGCCAAAAAGAGACUGAACAGACUACUGGUUGCUCACGUUCUGGUCUCUGAGAAUUGGAGGUUGCUACUACUCUUCACAUUGCUCAUCCAGAAUAUCAGAAUGAAAGCAGCUACUGUUGAAGAUGACCCCUCUCCCACGAUCCUCCGGAUGAAAACUGGAAGCUCUGAGGUGUAAUUAGAGCAUUCACAGGAAGAAAGCCAAG